UAGUUCUGACCUGGGCCAUCUUGCGACUGGACCGACGCACUACAUCAUGCAUCAACAUUUGCACACAUCUGGCACCUUCGGUGUCCGAGUUGUAAUUUGAAGAAGGUAACUUUGGAGUUGGCUCUUGUCUAUGUUCCUUGGAACAGGACGUCACAGAGGGUGAGAAUCCCGUGCGAUGAGAUGCCCAAUUCUAUGUAAAGUGCUUUCGAAGAGUCGAGUUGUUUGGGAAUGCAGCUCUAAGUGGGUGGUAAAUUCCAUCUAAAGCUAAAUAUUGGCGAGAGACCGAUAGCGAACAAGUACAGUGAUGGAAAGAUGAAAAGAACUUUGAAAAGAGAGUGAAAAAGUACGUGAAAUUGUUGAAAGGGAAGGGCUUGAGAUCAGACUUGGUAUUUUGCGAUCCUUUCCUUCUUGGUUGGGUUCCUCGCAGCUUACUGGGCCAGCAUCGGUUUGGAUGGUAGGAUAAUGACUAAGGAAUGUGGCUCUACUUCGGUGGAGUGUUAUAGCCUUGGUUGAUACUGCCUGUCUAGACCGAGGACUGCGUCUUUGACUAGGAUGCUGGCAUAAUGAUCUUAAGCCACCCGUCUUGAAACACGGACACA
This 599-nucleotide ribosomal RNA is filed under the name Debaryomyces hansenii. Its description in RNAcentral is "eukaryotic LSU rRNA". It matches the Rfam family "Eukaryotic large subunit ribosomal RNA", at positions 1 to 669 of the family's 3401-position model. Lineage: Eukaryota; Fungi; Ascomycota; Pichiomycetes; Serinales; Debaryomycetaceae. The record is from RNAcentral.